RNAcentral lists this ribosomal RNA (401 nucleotides) under uncultured bacterium. RNAcentral describes it as "bacterial SSU rRNA". It matches the Rfam family "Bacterial small subunit ribosomal RNA", at positions 335 to 724 of the family's 1533-position model. The record is from RNAcentral.
ACUCCUACGGGAGGCAGCAGUGGGGAAUAUUGGACAAUGGGGGAACCCUGAUCCAGCAAUGCCGCGUGUGUGAAGAAGGCCUGAGGGGUUGUAAAGCACUUUCAACUGUGAGGAUUGGGGAUUUUGGUUAAUACCCGAGAUCCUUGACGUUAGCAGUAGAAGAAGCACCGGCUAACUCCGUGCCAGCAGCCGCGGUAAUACGGAGGGUGCGAGCGUUAAUCGGAAUUACUGGGCGUAAAGCGCAUGCAGGCGGCCUGUUAAGUCAGAUGUGAAAGCCCGGGGCUUAACCUCGGAAUUGCAUUUGAAACUGGCAGGCUAGAGUCUUGUAGAGGGGGUGAGAAUUGAUCAGGUGUAGCGGUGAAAUGCGUAGAGAUCUGAAGGAAUACCAGUGGCGAAGGCGG